CCUACGGGAGGCAGCAGUGGGGAAUAUUGCACAAUGGGCGAAAGCCUGAUGCAGCGACGCCGCGUGAGGGAUGACGGCCUUCGGGUUGUAAACCUCUUUCAGCAGGGAAGAAGCGAAAGUGACGGUACCUGCAGAAGAAGCGCCGGCUAACUACGUGCCAGCAGCCGCGGUAAUACGUAGGGCGCAAGCGUUGUCCGGAAUUAUUGGGCGUAAAGAGCUCGUAGGCGGCUUGUCACGUCGGGUGUGAAAGCCCGGGGCUUAACCCCGGGUCUGCAUUCGAUACGGGCUGGCUAGAGUGUGGUAGGGGAGAUCGGAAUUCCUGGUGUAGCGGUGAAAUGCGCAGAUAUCAGGAGGAACACCGGUGGCGAAGGCGGAUCUCUGGGCCAUUACUGACGCUGAGGAGCGAAAGCGUGGGGAGCGAACAGGAUUAGAUACCCUGGUAGUCCACGCCGUAAACGGUGGGAACUAGGUGUUGGCGACAUUCCACGUCGUCGGUGCCGCAGCUAACGCAUUAAGUUCCCCGCCUGGGGAGUACGGCCGCAAGGCUAAACUCAAAUGAAUUGACGG
Molecule: ribosomal RNA, 567 nt
Filed under: uncultured bacterium
Lineage: Bacteria
Description: bacterial SSU rRNA
Rfam family: Bacterial small subunit ribosomal RNA
Source: RNAcentral